Molecule: non-coding RNA, 26 nt
Filed under: Homo sapiens (human)
Lineage: Eukaryota; Metazoa; Chordata; Mammalia; Primates; Hominidae
Source: RNAcentral
UGUUCAGAUGGAGCGGCACACUAGUC